CAGCAGCCACGGGAAUACGUAGGUGGCAAGCGUUGUCCGGAAUUAUUGGGCGUAAAGGGCUCGCAGGCGGUUUCUUAAGUCUGAUGUGAAAGCCCCCGGCUCAACCGGGGAGGGUCAUUGGAAACUGGGAAACUUGAGUGCAGAAGAGGAGAGUGGAAUUCCACGUGUAGCGGUGAAAUGCGUAGAGAUGUGGAGGAACACCAGUGGCGAAGGCGACUCUCUGGUCUGUAACUGACGCUGAGGAGCGAAAGCGUGGGGAGCGAACAGGAUUAGAGACCCCAGUAGUCCCUGUCUCUUAUAC
RNAcentral lists this ribosomal RNA (301 nucleotides) under uncultured bacterium. RNAcentral's name for it is "partial 16S ribosomal RNA". It matches the Rfam family "Bacterial small subunit ribosomal RNA", at positions 509 to 807 of the family's 1533-position model. The record is from RNAcentral.